This 301-nucleotide ribosomal RNA is filed under the name uncultured bacterium. Its description in RNAcentral is "partial 16S ribosomal RNA". It matches the Rfam family "Bacterial small subunit ribosomal RNA", at positions 509 to 807 of the family's 1533-position model. The record is from RNAcentral.
CAGUCGCCGCGGGAAUACAGAGGAUGCAAGCGUUAUCCGGAAUGAUUGGGCGUAAAGCGUCUGUAGGUGGCUUUUCAAGUCCGCCGUCAAAUCCCAGGGCUCAACCCUGGACAGGCGGUGGAAACUACCAAACUGGAGUACGGUAGGGGCAGAGGGAAUUUCCGGUGGAGCGGUGAGAUGCGUUGAGAUCGGAAAGAACACCAACGGCGAAAGCACUCUGCUGGGCCGACACUGACACUGAGAGACGAAAGCUAGGGGAGCAAAUGGGAUUAGAGACCCCAGUAGUCCCUGUCUCUUAUAC